Molecule: ribosomal RNA, 253 nt
Filed under: uncultured bacterium
Lineage: Bacteria
Description: partial 16S ribosomal RNA
Rfam family: Bacterial small subunit ribosomal RNA
Source: RNAcentral
AACGUAGGUGGCGAGCGUUAUCCGGAUUUACUGGGCGUAAAGCGCGUGUAGGCGGGCGACUAAGUCGGAUGUGAAAUCCCUGGGCUCAACCUAGGAACUGCAUUCGAAACUGGUCACCUAGAGUGAUGGAGAGGAAAGCGGAAUUCCCGGUGUAGAGGUGAAAUUCGUAGAUAUCGGGAGGAACACCAGUGGCGAAGGCGGCUUUCUGGACAUUUACUGACGCUGAGACGCGAAAGCGUGGGGAGCAAACAGG